This 253-nucleotide ribosomal RNA is filed under the name uncultured bacterium. Its description in RNAcentral is "partial 16S ribosomal RNA". It matches the Rfam family "Bacterial small subunit ribosomal RNA", at positions 524 to 776 of the family's 1533-position model. The record is from RNAcentral.
UACGGAGGGGGCUAGCGUUGUUCGGAAUUACUGGGCGUAAAGCGCGCGUAGGCGGACCUGCAAGUCGGGGGUGAAAGCCCGAGGCUCAACCUCGGAACUGCCUUCGAUACUGCGGGUCUCGAGUCCGGGAGAGGUGAGUGGAAUUCCCAGUGUAGCGGUGAAAUGCGUAGAUAUUGGGAGGAACACCGGUGGCGAAGGCGGUUCUCUGGGCCUUACCUGACGCUGAGGAGCGAAAGCAUGGGGAGCAAACAGG